Molecule: ribosomal RNA, 253 nt
Filed under: uncultured bacterium
Lineage: Bacteria
Description: partial 16S ribosomal RNA
Rfam family: Archaeal small subunit ribosomal RNA
Source: RNAcentral
UACCAGCACCCCGAGUGGUCGGGACGAUUAUUGGGCCUAAAGCAUCCGUAGCCGGUCAUGCAAGUCUUCCGUUAAAUCCAGCCGCUCAACGGUUGGGCUGCGGAGGAUACUACGUGGCUAGGAGGCGGGAGAGGCGAGCGGUACUCAGUGGGUAGGGGUAAAAUCCUUUGAUCCAUUGAAGACCACCAGUGGCGAAGGCGGCUUGCCAGAACGCGCUCGACGGUGAGGGAUGAAAGCUGGGGGAGCAAACCGG